RNAcentral lists this ribosomal RNA (206 nucleotides) under uncultured Pseudomonadota bacterium. RNAcentral describes it as "uncultured proteobacterium partial 16S ribosomal RNA". It matches the Rfam family "Bacterial small subunit ribosomal RNA", at positions 568 to 774 of the family's 1533-position model. The record is from RNAcentral. Lineage: Bacteria; Pseudomonadati; Pseudomonadota.
CGUGUAGGCGGCUUGGUAAGUCAGAUGUGAAAUCCCUGGGCUCAACCCAGGAAGUGCAUUUGAUACUGCCUUGCUUGAGUACGGGAGGGGAAGUGGAAUUCCUGGUGUAGAGGUGAAAUUCGUAGAUAUCAGGAGGAACACCGGUGGCGAAGGCGACUUCCUGGUCCGAUACUGACGCUGAGACGCGAGAGCGUGGGGAGCAAACA